UACGUAGGGUGCAAGCGUUGUCCGGAAUUAUUGGCGUAAAGAGCUCGUAGGCGGUUCUGUCGCGUCGGCUGUGAAAACCCGGAGCUCAACUUCCGGGCCUGCAUGUCGAUACGGGCAAACUGGAGUACUGCGAAGGGGAGACUGGGAAUUCCUGGGUGAUAGCGGUGAAAUGCGCAGACUAUCAGGAGGAACACCGGUGGCGAAGGCGGCAUCCUG
RNAcentral lists this ribosomal RNA (216 nucleotides) under uncultured bacterium. RNAcentral describes it as "partial 16S ribosomal RNA". It matches the Rfam family "Bacterial small subunit ribosomal RNA", at positions 524 to 731 of the family's 1533-position model. The record is from RNAcentral.